Molecule: ribosomal RNA, 491 nt
Filed under: uncultured bacterium
Lineage: Bacteria
Description: partial 16S ribosomal RNA
Rfam family: Bacterial small subunit ribosomal RNA
Source: RNAcentral
AGUGAACGCUGGCGGUAGGCCUAACACAUGCAAGUCGAACGGCAGCACAGUAAGAGCUUGCUCUUACGGGUGGCGAGUGGCGGACGGGUGAGGAAUACAUCGGAAUCUACUUUUUCGUGGGGGAUAACGUAGGGAAACUUACGCUAAUACCGCAUACGACCUACGGGUGAAAGCAGGGGAUCUUCGGACCUUGCGCGAUUGAAUGAGCCGAUGUCGGAUUAGCUAGUUGGCGGGGUAAAGGCCCACCAAGGCGACGAUCCGUAGCUGGUCUGAGAGGAUGAUCAGCCACCCUGGAACUGGGACACGGUCCAGACUCCUACGGGAGGCAGCAGUGGGGAAUAUUGGACAAUGGGCGCAAGCCUGAUCCAGCCAGACCGCGUGGGUGAAGAAGGCCUUCGGGUUGUAAAGCCCUUUUGUUGGGAAAGAAAAGCAGCAGGUUAAUACCCCGCUGUUCGGACGGUACCCAAAGAAUAAGCACCGGCUAACUUCGU